UGCAUUUCCAAGCGUUAUCUCCUGCCAUUUUUUAUUUGUUUGUUUGAGACAGGGUCUCACUCUGUCGCCCAGGCUGGAGUGCAGUGGCGCAAUCUCAGCUCACUGCAGCCUUGACUUCCUGGGCUCAAGCGAUCCUCCCACCUCAGCUUCCCGAGUAGCUGGGACUACAGGCAUGUGCCACCAUGCCUGGCAAAUUUUUUUAUUUUUUGUAGAGAUGGGGUUUCGCUAUGUUGCCCAGGCUGGUCUCCAACUCCCGGGCUCAAACGAUCUGUCUGCCUUGGCCUCCGAAAGUGCUGGUUUUACAGGCAUGAGCCACCGCGCCUAGCCUCUCCUGCGGUUUUGAUGCAUAUUUUCCAAACAUUGUGAUGCACCUUUAUAGCUGUUCGUGUAUGCGCCUUUUAAACGUGGCAUGCUGCAUACCCUUUUCGAGCAGCCUGUUUCCGCACAUUCUUUUCAAGUCAUUAAACUAUUCCUUGACGUCCUUUCUCAAGGCUGUCCGUGGCCCCUAUUGUUGAGUAUGUGGAUUACUUCUGGUUUUUAAACUUUUCUAGGCAAUGCUCUCCGAAUGCCUUUGUAGUCGAGUAUUCGGGAACAGCCAUGAGUAUUCACUCCAGACAGGACUCACUAUGUCCAGGGCAGGCCGUUUGAUAAGCUUUUGGCAGGAGUGGCCCAGCUGUCCCUGUCCCCUGAUGGGUUUGACACUGGCACAUUUUCAGCGUGGCAGAGGCCCCCUUGAGAGUGUCUCCUCUAGACCCAGAGGGCACCCAAGCAAUGAGGACAGAGGCCAGGCUCACCAUCUGGGGUGGAAAAGACCGAGUCGUUCCUGUGUCCCCGUGAAUGCACCAGAUGCCCUCUGAGCUGCGUCCUAGGCCGGGUCCUGUGCAGGUUUAGAAGAGAGAGACCAGCUGCUUCUGGAGCCCUGAACAAGCCAAGUGGUGCCUGUGCCCAUCAGAGGAAGCUGCCUGUUCCUCACGGUGCCCUACUGCCAUCUCCUACGCAUCAGGUUACUUUGCAGAUGGUGCCUUGGCGCUGUGCCUUAGCAGCCAGGUACUAUGGCUGGUGCCCCUGCCCUUGUAGGCCUUGGGGGUCACCACCAAAGGAGGAAGCACCGCCCCAGCAGAACACAGCCCAUCCGGCUCCUGGGCGCUGGAAGAGAGGGGCUGCAGCCCGGGAGGGCCAACGACGGAAGGGAGCAGUGGGCGUGGCCAGGUCCAGGAGGGGCCCGCAAAGGGCAGUCAGGCCCAGCAGGGAUUGAGAAACGCCUGUGUUGAUCCCACUCCCCAUGUCAUGCCAGCCCUCACUGAACAGCUCCGUUGUUCUGAGCACGGGCUCUGGAGCAAGACAGGCCUGGGUCCAAUUCCUGGCCCCACCCUGGGCAGGUUACUCAUCACCCUGAACCUCAGCUCCCUCACCUGGGAGGUAGAAUCUCCUUCCCGGAGUUGUGAGAAUUAAUGAUGGCAUCGUUAGGUGCACAGCAUGGUCUGGCACAUGGCACUGUGAACAUGUCAGCUACGCCUGUUGUCACCGUGGCUGUUAUCAGCAUUGUUUGUUCACUGCUGUAUUCCCAGCACCUAGAACAGUACUCAACGAAGAGUUAUCGAAUGGCAGAAUAAAAGAAUCACAUUCAGGCAUGAGCCACCGCGCCUGGCAACCAUCAUUGUUAUUACAGGUUUUAUUACCAUUUUGUGACUAACAUUGCC
RNAcentral lists this long non-coding RNA (1700 nucleotides) under Homo sapiens (human). Its description in RNAcentral is "HSALNT0155545". Lineage: Eukaryota; Metazoa; Chordata; Mammalia; Primates; Hominidae. The record is from RNAcentral.